GAAAUGCGAUAAGUAAUGUGAAUUGCAGAAUUCAGUGAAUCAUCGAAUCUUUGAACGCACCUUGCGCUCCUUGGUAUUCCUUGGAGCAUGCCUGUUUGAGUAUCAUGAAAUCUUCAAAGUAAAUCUUUUGUUAACUCAAUUGGUUUCUACUUUGGUAUUGGAGGUCUUUGCAGCUUCACACCUGCUCCUCUUUGUUCAUUAGCUGGAUCUCAGUGUUAUGCUUGGUUCCACUCGGCGUGAUAAGUUAUCUAUCGCUGAGGACACUGUAAAAGGUGGCCAAGGUAAAUGCAGAUGACCGCUUCUAAUAGUCCAUUGACUUGGACAAUACUUUUAUGAUCUGAUCUCAAAUCAGGUAGGACUACCCGCUGAACUUAAGC
This 377-nucleotide unclassified non-coding RNA is filed under the name plant metagenome. Its description in RNAcentral is "partial contains 5.8S ribosomal RNA, internal transcribed spacer 2, and large subunit ribosomal RNA". The stretch from base 1 to 105 matches the Rfam family "5.8S ribosomal RNA", at positions 50 to 154 of the family's 154-position model. The record is from RNAcentral.